UGGGGAAUAUUGCGCAAUGGGGGGAACCCUGACGCAGCAACGCCGCGUGAAGGAUGAAGGUUUUCGGAUCGUAAACUUCUUUGAUGAGGGACGAAGAAUGACGGUACCUCAAAAACAAGCCACGGCUAACUACGUGCCAGCAGCCGCGGUAAUGCGUAGGUGGCGAGCGUUGUCCGGAAUUACUGGGUGUAAAGGGCGUGUAGGCGGGAAUGCAAGUCAGAUGUGAAAUACCGUGGCUUAACCACGGGGCUGCAUCUGGAACUGUGUUUCUUGAGUGUCGGAGAGGAAAGUGGAAUUCCCAGUGUAGCGGUGAAAUGCGUAGAUAUUGGGGGGAACACCAGUGGCGAAGGCGACUUUCUGGACGAUAACUGACGCUGAGGCGCGAAAGCGUGGGGAGCAAACA
RNAcentral lists this ribosomal RNA (403 nucleotides) under uncultured bacterium. RNAcentral's name for it is "bacterial SSU rRNA". It matches the Rfam family "Bacterial small subunit ribosomal RNA", at positions 355 to 774 of the family's 1533-position model. The record is from RNAcentral.